Molecule: ribosomal RNA, 253 nt
Filed under: uncultured bacterium
Lineage: Bacteria
Description: partial 16S ribosomal RNA
Rfam family: Bacterial small subunit ribosomal RNA
Source: RNAcentral
UACAGAGGUCUCAAGCGUUGUUCGGAUUCAUUGGGCGUAAAGGGUGCGUAGGUGGCGCUGUAAGUCGGGUGUGAAAUUUCGGAGCUUAACUCCGAAACUGCAUUCGAUACUGCGGUGCUCGAGGACUGGAGAGGAGACUGGAAUUCAUGGUGUAGCAGUGAAAUGCGUAGAGAUCAUGAGGAAGACCAGUGGCGAAGGCGGGUCUCUGGACAGUUCCUGACACUGAGGCACGAAGGCCAGGGGAGCAAAUGGG